CACGUAGGCGGACUGAUAAGUCAGGGGUGAAAUCCCGGGGCUCAACCCCGGAACUGCCUUUGAUACUGUCAGUCUUGAGUCCGAGAGAGGUGAGUGGAACUCCGAGUGUAGAGGUGAAAUUCGUAGAUAUUCGGAAGAACACCAGUGGCGAAGGCGGCUCACUGGCUCGGUACUGACGCUGAGGUGCGAAAGCGUGGGGAGCAAACA
Molecule: ribosomal RNA, 207 nt
Filed under: uncultured bacterium
Lineage: Bacteria
Description: partial 16S ribosomal RNA
Rfam family: Bacterial small subunit ribosomal RNA
Source: RNAcentral